Molecule: ribosomal RNA, 82 nt
Filed under: Bacillota bacterium
Lineage: Bacteria; Bacillati; Bacillota
Description: partial 16S ribosomal RNA
Rfam family: Bacterial small subunit ribosomal RNA
Source: RNAcentral
UUUAUUGAGAGUUUGAUCCUGGCUCAGGACGAACGCUGGCGGCGUGCCUAACACAUGCAAGUCGAACGAAGCACUUCUGAAU